CCCCGGGCUGGCGCCCGGGGCUACACUCUGUCGCCGCUCCGCGGCU
Non-coding RNA from Acidobacteria bacterium 13_1_40CM_2_56_5, 46 nucleotides. NCBI's taxonomy places the organism in Bacteria, Pseudomonadati, Acidobacteriota. The record is from Rfam.